RNAcentral lists this ribosomal RNA (496 nucleotides) under uncultured bacterium. Its description in RNAcentral is "partial 16S ribosomal RNA". It matches the Rfam family "Bacterial small subunit ribosomal RNA", at positions 28 to 507 of the family's 1533-position model. The record is from RNAcentral.
GAUGAACGCUGGCGGCGUGCCUAAUACAUGCAAGUCGAGCGAACAGACGAGGAGCUUGCUCCUCUGACGUUAGCGGCGGACGGGUGAGUAACAGUGGAUAACCUACCUAUAAGACUGGGAUAACUUCGGGAAACCGGAGCUAAUACCGGAUAAUAUAUUGAACCGCAUGGUUCAAUAGUGAAAGACGGUUUUGCUGUCACUUAUAGAUGGAUCCGCGCCGCAUUAGCUAGUUGGUAAGGUAACGGCUUACCAAGGCAACGAUGCGUAGCCGACCUGAGAGGGUGAUCGGCCACACUGGAACUGAGACACGGUCCAGACUCCUACGGGAGGCAGCAGUAGGGAAUCUUCCGCAAUGGGCGAAAGCCUGACGGAGCAACGCCGCGUGAGUGAUGAAGGUCUUCGGAUCGUAAAACUCUGUUAUUAGGGAAGAACAAAUGUGUAAGUAACUAUGCACGUCUUGACGGUACCUAAUCAGAAAGCCACGGCUAACUACGUG